AAAAUUCGCAGGGCAGGGAUCAAAUAUCUGUGACAGGCAAACAAAUUAUUUCUUUAUUUUGUGCCCUUUGGAAUUGUCAAGAAUAUGACGUGCACUAAGGGCAAUAUUGUAAGCGGUGCAAUUAGGAUCGAAUCGGUGUGGCGCAAUAUUGUACAUGGUGGUUUUAGGAUCUCUCAACAUUGCUCCUUUUUUCCUCCCGUUAUUAUCUUUUUCCCUUUCCCCACUUUAAACUAUUCCUCACCUUUUGACCAUAUGUAUAGGGGGAAAAAAUGAAAAAUUUGAUGUCAAUGUAUGAAUACAAGCGACAUCAUCAUUUCUUUCCAAUUAUUUAAAUAAUUAAUAUGGGAUUAAACUUAAGUUCUUGAUAGUCUAGG
Molecule: long non-coding RNA, 374 nt
Filed under: Olea europaea (common olive)
Lineage: Eukaryota; Viridiplantae; Streptophyta; Magnoliopsida; Lamiales; Oleaceae
Description: long non-coding RNA (OEUR_LNC006450)
Source: RNAcentral